This 1098-nucleotide long non-coding RNA is filed under the name Salmo salar (Atlantic salmon). Its description in RNAcentral is "lncRNA (ENSSSAG00000093492.1)". Lineage: Eukaryota; Metazoa; Chordata; Actinopteri; Salmoniformes; Salmonidae. The record is from RNAcentral.
AAUAUGUGAUAAUCACAUUCUUCACAUAGCUGGUGGGAAGUUUCGGCUGGUUCUCCACAAGAGGAGGGGUGUGUGCAUAUGUGUGUGUAUGUGUGUGUGCAUGUGUAUGUGUGCGUGUACUCGUGCGUGUGCUCGUGUGUGUGUGUGUGUGUCAUUCCUCUGUUCUCUGGAGGCCCCACAGAGAAAGAAAGAGUUAUGGAACAAAUAGGUCUCACACAUUACACAACAGUACCACCAAUACAAACCAUCAGCUCAGUUAUACUCCCAGUACAAACCAUCAUGUCAGAAAUCCUCCCAGUACAAACCACCAGGUCAGACAUCCUCCCAGUACAAAACAUCAGCUCAGAUAUCCUCCCAGUACAAACCAUCAGGUCAUAUAUCCUCCCAGUACAAACCAGAUAUACUCCCAGUACAAACCAGAUAUACUCCCAGUACAAACCAUCAGGUCAGAAAUCCUCCCAGUACAAACCAUCAGGUCAGAUAUCCUCCCAGUACAAACCAUCAGGUCAGAUAUCCUCCCAGUACAAACCAUCAGGUCAGAUAUCAUCCCAGUACAAACCAGAUAUACUCCCAGUACAAACCAGAUAUACUCCCAGUACAAACCAAUAUACUCCCAGUACAAACCAGAUAUCAUCCCAGUACAAACCAGAUAUACUCCCAAUACAAACCAAAUACACUUCCAUUACAAACCAGAUAUACUUCCAGUACAAACCAGAUACACUUCCAAUACAAACCAGAUAUACUCCCAGUACAAACCAGAUACACUUCCAAUACAAGCCAGGUACACUUCCAGUACAAACCAGAUAUACUCCCAAUACAAACCAGAUACACUCCCAGUACAAACCAGAUACACUUCCAGUACAAACCAGAUAUACUCCCAAUACAAACCAGAUAUGCUCCCAGUACAAACCAGAUAUACUCCCAGUACAAACCAGAUAUACUCCCAGUACAAACCAGAUACACUUCCAGUACAAACCAGAUACACUUCCAAUACAAACCAGGUACACUUCCAAUACAAACCAGGUACACUUCCAGUACAAACCAGAUAUACUCCCUGUACAAGGCAGAUGCACUUCCAGUACAAACCAGAUAUACUCC